Dalotia coriaria is the source of this 541-nucleotide long non-coding RNA. RefSeq lists it as uncharacterized. The transcript is spliced from 3 exons. NCBI's taxonomy places the organism in Eukaryota, Metazoa, Arthropoda, Insecta, Coleoptera, Staphylinidae. The record is from RefSeq and is a predicted model, not a curated record.
AUUUCCGUGUAGUUUAUCACCUUCAUUUUUUGAUAUAUAAAGGUCCCAGCAUCCACAAACAAUUUACUCAUACUCGUAAAUAAACUCAAUCAAAAUGAAGCUUAUCACUGUAGUAUUGAUCGCUUGCGUUGUCCUGACGCAAGCGGAUGUAUCCUACGCACAAUGUAAUGGAUACUGUUCAAUGAUACUUAAACCAGUCUGUGGUCAGAACGCUUGGGGUGAAAUACGUUCAUUCGGAAGUGAAUGCGUAUUAGACAUGCAUAACUGCCAAUAUCCUCAUAACAAAUUCCUCCUUAACCCGGCCGUCAUAUGUUGAGAAAUCAAAUAUGUUCGAUAACAACUUGACAAUGGACUUGUUUAGGUAUUAUCUAGUAUCAACUUACAUUAGCAUAAAACUUGUUUGCUUUAAAUUUACUGUUAUCAAAAAUUAAUUAUAUAAACAACAAUAACAACCGAUUUUGAAACUGGUUAAUGGGAGAUACUUAUUAACAUCAUAAUUUAAUUACUUUAAAAUGAGAAUAAACAACUACUAUUAAAUGUU